GACGAACGCUGGCGGCGUGCUUAACACAUGCAAGUCGAACGGAAAGGCCCCUUUGGUGGUUCUCGAGUGGCGUACGGUUGAGUAACACGGGAGUAACCUGCCCUUGACUUCUGGAUAGCUUCAUGCAACUGGGUCUACUACCGGAUAGGAAUCCUUUCUGCAUGGUGGGGGUUGGAUAGCUUCGUGGGUUUUGGAUGGAAUAGCGGCUUAUCAGCUUGUUGGUGGGGUAGUGGCUUACUGAGGCUUUGACGGGUUGCCGGCCGGAGGGGGGGACGGACCACAGUGGGACUGAGGAACGGCCCAGGCCCCUAAGGGAGGCAGGAGGGGGGAAUAGUGAACAAGGGGCGGAAGGCGGAUGCCGCAAGGCCCCGGGCGGGAUGACGGACUUGGGGUUGGAAACCGAAUUCAGCAGGGGAGAAGCUUGUGGUGACGGUACCUGAAGAAGAAGCACCGGCUAACUACGUG
RNAcentral lists this ribosomal RNA (465 nucleotides) under uncultured bacterium. RNAcentral's name for it is "partial 16S ribosomal RNA". It matches the Rfam family "Bacterial small subunit ribosomal RNA", at positions 28 to 507 of the family's 1533-position model. The record is from RNAcentral.